AUGGACCAAGUUCUUGUGCUGUUUCUACUUUCACUUCUACUUCCAACAGCUGCUCCAAAAGUCAGACUCCUCCAGAAAGCCAACCCAGAUAGUAGAGGGUCUCAAGUGUUGUGUCUAGCAACAAGAUUUUAUCCUCGUCACAUCAACCUGACCCUGUUUAGAGAUGGACAGCCUGUAUCUGAUGAUGAGAUCACUGGAGGAGAUCUGCUGCCCAAUGAUGAUGGGACGUACCAGAUGAGGAAGAUCCUGAAGAUCAGUGAAGAAGAACAGAGAGAGAAACACAAAUACACCUGCACCGCCACACAUCUCAGUCUGGACAACAAACUGGACAUCACUUUGGGAUCUGAAGAAAGUAUGGACACAACUUCAUUGAGUUCAUGUUAUGAUGUGCGUUACACGCAGCUCAGCCCCAUUGAACUUUUGCUGUGA
Molecule: non-coding RNA, 429 nt
Organism: Paramisgurnus dabryanus
Lineage: Eukaryota; Metazoa; Chordata; Actinopteri; Cypriniformes; Cobitidae
Source: the annotation of a RefSeq genome assembly